RNAcentral lists this ribosomal RNA (1436 nucleotides) under uncultured organism. RNAcentral's name for it is "16S ribosomal RNA". It matches the Rfam family "Bacterial small subunit ribosomal RNA". The record is from RNAcentral.
AACGCUAGCUACAGGCUUAACACAUGCAAGUCGAGGGGCAUCAGGAAGAAAGCUUGCUUUCUUUGCUGGCGACCGGCGCACGGGUGAGUAACACGUAUCCAACCUGCCCUUUACUCGGGGAUAGCCUUUCGAAAGAAAGAUUAAUACCCGAUGGCAUAAUGAUUCCGCAUGGUUUCAUUAUUAAAGGAUUCCGGUAAAGGAUGGGGAUGCGUUCCAUUAGGUUGUUGGUGAGGUAACGGCUCACCAAGCCUUCGAUGGAUAGGGGUUCUGAGAGGAAGGUCCCCCACAUUGGAACUGAGACACGGUCCAAACUCCUACGGGAGGCAGCAGUGAGGAAUAUUGGUCAAUGGGCGCUAGCCUGAACCAGCCAAGUAGCGUGAAGGAUGAAGGCUCUAUGGGUCGUAAACUUCUUUUAUAUAAGAAUAAAGUGCAGUAUGUAUACUGUUUUGUAUGUAUUAUAUGAAUAAGGAUCGGCUAACUCCGUGCCAGCAGCCGCGGUAAUACGGAGGAUCCGAGCGUUAUCCGGAUUUAUUGGGUUUAAAGGGAGCGUAGGUGGACUGGUAAGUCAGUUGUGAAAGUUUGCGGCUCAACCGUAAAAUUGCAGUUGAUACUGUCAGUCUUGAGUACAGUAGAGGUGGGCGGAAUUCGUGGUGUGGCGGUGAAAUGCUUAGAUAUCACGAAGAACUCCGAUUGCGAAGGCAGCUCACUGGACUGCAACUGACACUGAUGCUCGAAAGUGUGGGUAUCAAACAGGAUUAGAUACCCUGGUAGUCCACACAGUAAACGAUGAAUACUCGCUGUUUGCGAUAUACAGUAAGCGGCCAAGCGAAAGCAUUAAGUAUUCCACCUGGGGAGUACGCCGGCAACGGUGAAACUCAAAGGAAUUGACGGGGGCCCGCACAAGCGGAGGAACAUGUGGUUUAAUUCGAUGAUACGCGAGGAACCUUACCCGGGCUUAAAUUGCAGUGGAAUGAUGUGGAAACAUGUCAGUGAGCAAUCACCGCUGUGAAGGUGCUGCAUGGUUGUCGUCAGCUCGUGCCGUGAGGUGUCGGCUUAAGUGCCAUAACGAGCGCAACCCUUAUCUUUAGUUACUAACAGGUUAUGCUGAGGACUCUAGAGAGACUGCCGUCGUAAGAUGUGAGGAAGGUGGGGAUGACGUCAAAUCAGCACGGCCCUUACGUCCGGGGCUACACACGUGUUACAAUGGGGGGUACAGAAGGCAGCUAGCGGGUGACCGUAUGCUAAUCCCAAAAGCCUCUCUCAGUUCGGAUCGAAGUCUGCAACCCGACUUCGUGAAGCUGGAUUCGCUAGUAAUCGCGCAUCAGCCACGGCGCGGUGAAUACGUUCCCGGGCCUUGUACACACCGCCCGUCAAGCCAUGGGAGCCGGGGGUACCUGAAGUACGUAACCGCAAGGAUCGUCCUAGGGUAAAACUGG